UGGGCUGAAAGCAAAGAUUACAGAAGGUGUUGAUGGGCCUGGAGCUGGAAAACAUUCCACUGGAGCAAUUAAGAGGCAGUUUAGCGCCUCACUGGGCUAUACUUCUUUGAAAAUGCCUUUAGGCGGAUUAGGAAGAUUUUUCCAAGAUCCAGCCUCCUGAACAGUUGCUGCAGAACAGGGGGCGGGGCUGGACGCUGGAGCUGGAGAGAGCGUCUAGGGCCAGCGCUGGGCUCCAGCAGCGGCCUCUCAUCCCCAUCCCAGGGCUCUGAGGUCGGGUGUGCGUGCUGCCUUCCUCCUCACUCGGCAAGCAGAGCUGGCCGCCUUCCAAGAGUCUCAGUCCUGGAAUCCAGGCUAUUCUCCUAUCCUUCCUCUCCUGCACUCCAGA
Molecule: long non-coding RNA, 385 nt
Filed under: Homo sapiens (human)
Lineage: Eukaryota; Metazoa; Chordata; Mammalia; Primates; Hominidae
Description: non-protein coding lnc-PLET1-7:1
Source: RNAcentral